This 121-nucleotide transfer RNA is filed under the name Treponema sp. Its description in RNAcentral is "tRNA-OTHER". It matches the Rfam family "tRNA". Rfam says of the family: Transfer RNA (tRNA) molecules are approximately 80 nucleotides in length. Lineage: Bacteria; Pseudomonadati; Spirochaetota; Spirochaetia; Treponematales; Treponemataceae. The record is from RNAcentral.
GGGACAGUAGCUCAGCAGUGAGAGCGGAAGCAAGCCUAGUGACAUUUUUCAGUGAACAGACAAGUAGCUGACACGAGGGCGUUCGACAUCAAGGUCGUGGGUGCAAAUCCCACCUGUCCCA